AGCUUUUGACAUGGGGAGUAUGAGAACCAGAGAUGGUUUUCUUCAGUUCGGCUGGCUUCCACAC
RNAcentral lists this ribosomal RNA (64 nucleotides) under uncultured organism. RNAcentral's name for it is "partial 16S ribosomal RNA". The record is from RNAcentral.